AAUAAAACACCAAAAACCUCUCUCCUCUCAUAAUAUUCAUCCUCUAAAUCAAUCAUCAAGACUUGCUUUGGUUGAACCCCAAACAACUCCACACGAUUGAGGUAUAUAUGCUCUUGUACAAGCUAAGAGGAAUUGUUUGACGAAGUGGACUUUGGUUGGUCUAUGGCGUAGACGAUUUGAACUCCUCGAGUUGUGGUAGAACUUGUUGUGUGGUAAAACGCCAAGGUAAUGUACGGGAAGAGAUUUGAAGAUGGCCAUUUGGAGUAGACUUUUUGGGAGCCUUAGUGAAGAUCACAUUUGCAUAUGCAUCUAGGUCUUGUAAAAUUUUGGGGACUUGUACAUGAUCCAUAUGUAACACUUAUGUAUUAAAUUUUGGAGGCUUGUUGGACAC
Molecule: long non-coding RNA, 391 nt
Organism: Lycium ferocissimum
Lineage: Eukaryota; Viridiplantae; Streptophyta; Magnoliopsida; Solanales; Solanaceae
Exons: 3
Source: RefSeq, a predicted model, not a curated record